Non-coding RNA from Cordylochernes scorpioides, 77 nucleotides. Lineage: Eukaryota; Metazoa; Arthropoda; Arachnida; Pseudoscorpiones; Chernetidae. The record is from the annotation of a GenBank genome assembly.
UGUCCAAUGCGGGGAUCGAACCCGGGUCGUAAUGGUCGAAAACCAAACGGUUUAACCAGCCUUCCACCGAUUAAGAC